AGAUAAAUAGCCUUUGGAUGAGAUCAGGCAAUUUUUUUUGUAUUGGUCUUGAAAUCAAAUGUUCCUCCAGACAUGUAAAAUUAAUUUCAUCCUGAAAUAGCACUGCACCCAGGGAAAUGAUGCUGAGAGCUGUAACGAAAAAAAAAACUUGAAGAUUUUGUCUAAACUUCAUGACAUGGCCAGAGGUGUUUACCUCCAAGGUUCAUUGAAUUGACUGGAAGGAUAGCUGAUCUUUCCUCUUCCUGCAAGUAAUCUUGAUAGCAGACAGAAGAAAGCUCCCAUUUCAAGAGAUCAAUGUCUGUCUUCCUUAUGAAUUGUAGUACUAAGCAACCCUGCCUCUUGCAGUGCUGGAUGUCCUGGAUAUAUUUUGGAGAAGAAAAAUAACAACAAACCACCAUCCACCCUAUCCCUUCCUAUUUGCUUUACUACAUCUCCAUGAAAUGAGAUGCAUACAGUGCCUCAAGUAAAAUAUAACAUAUUUAAGAGAAUGGAGACUCAGUAACUGCAAACACAACAGCAGAUGAUGCAAUUAGAGUUCCGUUUCGGUUUUUUGGAGGGUGCAGUCAAUUAUUUUGAAGCUGAUCAAAUUGGACAAUGGUAUUUUUGUUUACACAAUAGGCAGCAGUUUCACUUGUUCCCAAAACAAAUAUAAUAAUUAAACAGACAGUAUGUUCAGAAUUCAGGAGGGCAUGCUAUUGUUUAGGGAAGCAAAGUACUUUACAAAUAUUGUGAUAUGUGAAGUAUCAGGAAAUUUGAUCAAAGUUAAUGCAUUCUCAAAGCUGUAAAACUAAGCUGGCUAUUUCUGUACUGCAUUUGGAUUUAGGAACUAUAUCUAUAGUCUUUUAAAGCCAGCAUAAAGAAGUCAAUCUUUCUCCUCAAACCUACACACAGAAAUGUGUAAUCAUCACAUAACUGUGUACAAAGAUUAAUACUAAGGCUUGCUAACAGCACUAAAACUUUGAUUUACUGAGUUUAAGAAAAUCAAGGUGUACUAUAUAUUCAUCAAGAAUUUGGUUUAUGUAUUUACAUCUCUCUAAAAUUAUUUUUCACAUACCAUCAUCCAGUAAAUUUUUUUUUCAAUCCAUGACAAAUAAAAACCUGGACAUCUGGACAAGUGUUCAGAUUUAAUGAACUGGGGUCUUUAGUAAAAACUGUUGUGGAAAGAAAGUCCUAAAGAGGACUAAUGAUAACUAAUGUGCCAAAGUAAUAUUUACAAGGCUUGUAUUUCCAGCAAAGAAAUAAUGUUAUUUUUUGGGAGACGAAUUUUGGUCUGUUUUAGUUGUUGCAUGUAUGAAUGUACAUCCUGUGGAUUGGAGUAACACAUGAUUAGAGUCCAAGGACUGUGGACUUACUUUGUGAAACAGUAAGUCAUGGGCAUGACUGCCAAAUGUGCAAAAAAGGCUGAGAAUUAGUAGUAAUACUUGUACA
Molecule: long non-coding RNA, 1428 nt
Organism: Pyrgilauda ruficollis (rufous-necked snowfinch)
Lineage: Eukaryota; Metazoa; Chordata; Aves; Passeriformes; Passeridae
Exons: 3
Source: RefSeq, a predicted model, not a curated record